RNAcentral lists this ribosomal RNA (482 nucleotides) under uncultured bacterium. RNAcentral describes it as "bacterial SSU rRNA". It matches the Rfam family "Bacterial small subunit ribosomal RNA", at positions 28 to 507 of the family's 1533-position model. The record is from RNAcentral.
GAUGAACGCUAGCGGCAGGCCUAAUACAUGCAAGACGAACGGUAAGUUUGAUAGCAAUAUUGAACCUAGAGUGUCGUAAGGGUGCGUAACACGUAUGCAAUCUACCCUCAACAGGAGGAUAGCUCCCCGAAAGGGGAAUUAACACUCCAUAAGAUCACAGGAUGGCAUCAUUCAGUGAUUAAAACUCCGGUGGUUGAGGAUGAGCAUGCGCAUGAUUAGUUAGUUGGCGGGGUAAUGGCCCACCAAGACGAUGAUCAUUAGGGGAACUGAGAGGUUGAUCCCCCACACUGGCACUGAGAUACGGGCCAGACUCCUACGGGAGGCAGCAGUAGGGAAUAUUGGACAAUGGGUGCGAGCCUGAUCCAGCCAUGCCGCGUGCAGGAAGACGGCCUUAUGGGUUGUAAACUGCUUUUGCCAGGGGAUAAAAGACCAUAGCGUGGUCAAUUGAAGGUACCUGGUGAAUAAGCCAGGCUAACUACGUG